AUGCUGCUGCUCCUGCUGCUCCUGGGGCCCAGCUCCGGGCUGGGUGCUCGGGUCUCCCAGGAUCCAAGCACCGCGAUCUGCAAGAGCGGCGCCUCCGUGCAGAUCGAGUGCCGAGCCGUGGACUUGCAGGCCCAGACCGUGUUUUGGUACCGUCAGCUCCCGAAGCAGGGCCUCACGCUGAUGGCGACUUCAAACCUGGGCUCCAGCACCACGCACGAGCCAGAUUUCCCGAGGCCAAGUUUCCUAUUAGCCAUCCAAACCUCACAUUUUUCUCUCUGACGGUGACGAGUGCGAGUCCUGCGGACAGCAGCCUCUACCUCUGCGGGGUCGUGAGGGGUGGCAGGUAUGAACUUUUCUUUGGAGAAGGCACCAGGCUCACAGUUAUAGAGAAUCUGGAAAAGGUCAAACCUCCCACGGUCACAGUGUUUGAACCAUCGGAAGCAGAGACCUCCCGAACCCAGAAGGCCACGCUCGUGUGCCUGGCCACCGGCUUCUACCCCGACCACGUGGAGCUGAGCUGGUGGGUGAAUGGGAAGGAGGUCCAGAAUGGGGUCAGCACGGACCCUCAGCCCUACAAGGAGCGGGUGGAUGGGAAUGACUCCAGCUACUGUCUGAGCAGCCGGCUGAGGGUGUCCUCUGCCUUCUGGCACAACCCUCGUAACCACUUUCGCUGCCAAGUCCAGUUCCACGGGCUCGGGGACGAUGACAAGUGGCCCAACAGCAAACGGACCAAACCCGUCACCCAGAUCGUCAGUGCCGAGGCCUGGGGCAGAGCAGACUGUGGCUUCACUUCGGUGUCCUAUCAGCAGGGCAUCCUGUCUGCCACCAUCCUCUAUGAGAUCCUGCUGGGGAAGGCCACCCUGUAUGCUGUGCUGGUCAGUGCCCUGGUGCUGAUGGCCAAGGUCAAGAGAAAGGGUUCCUGAGACCAGCUCAGAAAAUGCACCCUGAAUUGCUCAUCAUCCUCCCUGAGAUUCUCCCUAACAUGCUCCCGUCUGCGUUUCUAGAAGUUAAUCUCUCUCCACCUCUUAUCUCCUUCCUGCUGGGAUAUCUGUCCCUUCUCUCUGCUUUCCUGCAGACUGAGCUCCUCAACCCUGAAACGGAAAUAGACUAAAACAAUAAAAGUGUCCUGCCAGGCCA
Molecule: non-coding RNA, 1137 nt
Organism: Enhydra lutris kenyoni (northern sea otter)
Lineage: Eukaryota; Metazoa; Chordata; Mammalia; Carnivora; Mustelidae
Source: the annotation of a RefSeq genome assembly